GUUUUAUUAGACUACAAAACUCUUAAUCAUGAAAUACUAACUCCCACCACAAUCUGAAGGAAUAUUCUACAAAAGGCACUUUUGUAAAUGUUGGCUUAUAGGAAAAUUUCAUACUUGUGCUUUUUAAAGCAGACCUCCUUAGCCUGUAAUGACAAAAAUAAUAUUUUUUGUUUUAUGGAUAAUCAACUGAGAGUCCAGGAGUUAUGGAAUAACUCAUUACGUAGAGAUAAUCAUUGGAGUGGUGGCCGAUCAAUCUCCGCAAUAGUUAAUAUGGUUAAUCAUUCCUGUCCUACCUUCUCCUUACCCCUCCCUACCUCCUUCCUUCCAUCUUCCUCUUUUCCUUCAUUUCCCUCUCCCCCACCUCUCACCGCGCUUCACCAUGUCAGGUUCUCUUCCUUUUUUUCAGCCCACUUCUCAAUCUCUUAUUCUCCUUUUGCUGACUGCUCAUCAUCUAUUCUGUCUUGAAACAUCUGCAUUCUUGUCAGUCUUCUUCCUUAGUUCUGCUCUGGCACAUUCUAUCUGAGUCAUCAUCUCACUCUCAGAACUUUAACUUGCCCUUGAAGAGUGGUGGCUUUCAAGUCAGUCCUCUAACCAUAACCACAUGUUAUGAUUUCAACAUGAAGCAUCCCACACAGGCUCAUGUGUGAGACAAUGCAAGAUUUUUCAUAGGGGAAAUUGAUUAGAUCAUGAGAGGUGGAAACUAAUCAGUGGAUUAGUCCAAUGACAUGGAUUAACUGAACAGUAACUGUUGGCAGGUAGGAUGUGGCUGGAGGACAUAGGUCACUGGGGAUGUAUCUUGGGGUUUAUAUUUUGUCCUUGGUGAACUGAACUGUCUGUUUCCUUACUGUCAUGUCCUGAGCUGCUUUCCUCCACCAUGUCCUUCCAUGAUGAAGUUCUGCUUCAGGCCCUGAGCUAUAAAAUCAGCUGACCAUGAACUGUAUCUCUGAAACUGUGAGCCAAAUUAAACUUUUUCUCUUCUAUGUUGUUCCUGUUGGGUCUCCUGUUCAUAGUGACACAAAGUUGACUAAAAUACCUUCCUUGGUUCUAGGUCCUUAUGAACACACUUUUAUCAGAUACUUCUUCCUGAAUACCAUAUCAGUGUCUCAAGUUCAAGUUCCUUCCAGACCCAUCUGUAAGUCUUCCCUAACUUUUGUGUGCCCUGAGUUGCCCACCAUCUACUGUGUAAGCCUGGGAGACAUGUUGAAUUCUUCUCUCCUAAUCAGUUCAAUUCAUGUGUUGACAAUCCCACAUUAAGUUGAACCUGGGUAUGGUCCUCUCUAUCCCAUCUCCUGGGCCCACAUUCUUACUACAUCAUUCAUGAGCAUCUCACUCUGCUUCCUGGGAGCCCUUCCUUCUCCUCCCUUUCCUGCCAGCCCUUCUUCCCCACUCUUCCUUUCAUGAGGAUCGUUCCCCACCCUUGCAAAUCUGACCCUGAAGGCUCAGUGUGGUCUCUUUGGGAGGGUUCCCUGCUAUCUCUAGAGUCAAGUCCAAGUUCUUCCACACUGAGUAAGUCCUUUGACCAUUUCACCUCCACUUCCUCCAGCUUCACCUUCCAGAUCAACAUGCCAUCUCCCAGGGACUCUGUAAAAAUUUCUGCUUUAUUAAAAUCUCCUUUCCCUCAAUGUGGGUUUUUUUGAUAUUUUUGUCCACCCAUAUAGUUAAUUGAUUAUUCAAAAUUCUGCUUGAAAAGUGAUUGGCAAUGAAACAUCUAACCUUGAACAAUUUUGAAGAAAAUUGGCAGUAUCAAAAAACUUUUUAGAAAUUCUUGAGUUCUAUCUCAUCUAACCUUGAACAAUUUUGAAGAAAAUUGGCAGUAUCAAAAAAUUUUUUAGAAAUUCUUGAGUUCUAUCUCUAUAGAUUCAUCUCUGAGAAUUCAGGCUUAGGAAAUCAUAAAAUUGAUAAAACACAUGGUAGACCAGAAGAUGUCAAUCACUAUGUUAUUUAUAAUGAAGAAUGUUCUCAAAAAUAGGACCAUUCAGUUGCUUAUUCAAUAUUCA
RNAcentral lists this long non-coding RNA (1997 nucleotides) under Marmota monax (woodchuck). The record is from RNAcentral. Lineage: Eukaryota; Metazoa; Chordata; Mammalia; Rodentia; Sciuridae.